Molecule: ribosomal RNA, 250 nt
Filed under: uncultured bacterium
Lineage: Bacteria
Description: partial 16S ribosomal RNA
Rfam family: Bacterial small subunit ribosomal RNA
Source: RNAcentral
AAGAGAUGGCGACCGGCGCACGGGUGAGUAACACGUAUCCAACCUGCCGAUAACUCCGGAAUAGCCUUUCGAAAGAAAGAUUAAUACCGGAUGGCAUACGAAUAUCGCAUGAUAUUUUUAUUAAAGAAUUUCGGUUAUCGAUGGGGGUGCGUUCCAUUAGUUUGUUGGCGGGGUAACGGCCCACCAAGACUACGAUGGAUAGGGGUUCUGAGAGGAAGGUCCCCCACAUUGGAACUGAGACACGGUCCAA